CAAUAGCGUAUAUUAAAGUUGUUGCGGUUAAAAAGCUCGUAGUUGAAUUUCAGCCCAAGGAACCGGCGAACUAUGUUCGAUCUGGAUUUUGACGGCACACCGAGGUUGUUAUAUUGGUACUUAAUUGUGCCAUAUGAUGCCUCGACAUUUACUUUGAGGAAAUUAGAGUGUUUCAAGCAGGCGUUUGCCUUGUAUACAUUAGCAUGGAAUAAUAAAAUAGGAUUUCGGUUUUAUUUUGUUGGUUUCUAAAACUGAGAUAAUGAUGAAUAGGAACUGUCGGGGGCAUUCGUAUUUAACAGUCAGAGGUGGAAUUCUUGGAUUUGUUAAAGACGAACUAGUGCGAAAGCAUUUGCCAAGGAUGUUUNCAUUG
Molecule: ribosomal RNA, 370 nt
Filed under: uncultured eukaryote
Lineage: Eukaryota
Description: partial 18S ribosomal RNA
Rfam family: Eukaryotic small subunit ribosomal RNA
Source: RNAcentral